UUCGCCCUUAGAGUUUGAUCCUGGCUCAGGAUAAACGCUAGCGGCGCGCCUAAUGCAUGCAAGUCGAGCGAUGAUCCUUCGGGGUCAUAGCGGCAGACGGGUGAGUAACACGUGGGUGACCUGCCCCAAAGCCGGUGGAUAACGACUGGAAACGGUUGCUAAUACCCGAUGUGCUCGGUAAUUCGUUUUACCGAGUAAAGUUCCGGCGCUUUGGGAGGGGCCCGCGGCCCAUCAGCUAGUUGGUGAGGUAAUGGCCCACCAAGGCAUUGACGGGUAGGGGGCGUGAGAGCGCGGCCCCCCACACUGGCACUGAGACACGGGCCAGACUCCUACGGGAGGCAGCAGCAGGGAAUUUUGCGCAAUGGGCGAAAGCCUGACGCAGCGACGCCGCGUGGGCGAUGAAGGCCUUCGGGUUGUAAAGCCCUUUUCUGGGGGAAGAGAGAGGACGGUACCUCAGGAAUAAGCGUCGGCUAACUACGUGCCAGCAGCCGCGGUAAUACGUAGGACGCGAGCGUUAUCCGGAAUCAUUGGGCGUAAAGAGCGUGUAGGCGGCUAGGCAAGUCAGAUGUGAAAUCCCUGGGCUUAACCCGGGAAGUGCAUUUGAAACUGCUUAGCUUGAGUAUCGGGGAGGAUAGCGGAACUCCUGGUGUAGCGGUGAAAUGCGUAGAUAUCAGGAGGAACGCCGGUGGCGAAGGCGGCUAUCUGGCCGAAUACUGACGCUCAGGAGCGAAGGCCGGGGGAGCAAACAGGAUUAGAUACCCUGGUAGUCCCGGCAGUAAACGAUGGGUACUAGGUGUUGGAGGGAAUUGACCCCUUCAGUGCCGCAGCUAACGCAUUAAGUACCCCACCUGGGGAGUACGACCGCAAGGUUGAAACUCAAAGGAAUUGACGGGGGCCCGCACAGGCAGUGGAGUAUGUGGUUCAAUUCGACGCAACGCGAAGAACCUUACCUGGGUUUGAAAUGUGUUGGAAAGCCUCAGAGAUGAGGCCCCUCCGCAAGGAGUCGACACAUAGGUGCUGCAUGGCUGUCGUCAGCUCGUGCCGUGAGGUGUUGGGUUAAGUCCCGCAACGAGCGCAACCCCUGUUUCUAGUUACCAGCGGUUCGGCCGGGGACUCUAGAAAGACUGCCGGUGACAAGCCGGAGGAAGGUGGGGAUGACGUCAAGUCCUCAUGGCCCUUAUGUCCAGGGCUACACACGUACUACAAUGGCCGAUACAGAGGGUCGCAAGACCGCGAGGUGGAGCCAAUCCCUAAAAUCGGCCUCAGUUCAGAUUGGAGUCUGCAACUCGACUCCAUGAAGUUGGAAUUGCUAGUAAUCGCGAAUCAGCACGUCGCGGUGAGUACGUUCCCGGGCCUUGUACACACCGCCCGUCA
RNAcentral lists this ribosomal RNA (1374 nucleotides) under uncultured bacterium. RNAcentral describes it as "16S ribosomal RNA". It matches the Rfam family "Bacterial small subunit ribosomal RNA". The record is from RNAcentral.